This 153-nucleotide ribosomal RNA is filed under the name uncultured eukaryote. RNAcentral describes it as "partial small subunit ribosomal RNA". It matches the Rfam family "Eukaryotic small subunit ribosomal RNA", at positions 1651 to 1802 of the family's 1831-position model. The record is from RNAcentral.
CCCUGCCAUUUGUACACACCGCCCGUCGCUCCUACCGAUUGAAUGGUUCGGUGAGAUCUCGGGACCGUGCGAUCUUCCACAGCAAUGUGGGGGUUGCGUGGGAACUUGCUCAAACCUCAUCAUUUAGAGGAAGGAGAAGUCGUAACAAGGUAU